GACAGAGGAUGCAAGCGUUAUCCGGAAUGAUUGGGCGUAAAGCGUCUGUAGGUGGCUUUUUAAGUCCGCCGUCAAAUCCCAGGGCUCAACCCUGGACAGGCGGUGGAAACUACCAAGCUGGAGUACGGUAGGGGCAGAGGGAAUUUCCGGUGGAGCGGUGAAAUGCGUAGAGAUCGGAAAGACCACCAGGUGGCAGAAGCACUCUACUGGGCCAUUACUGACACUGGAGAGACGAAAGCUAGGGGAGCGAAUGGG
RNAcentral lists this ribosomal RNA (255 nucleotides) under uncultured bacterium. RNAcentral's name for it is "partial 16S ribosomal RNA". It matches the Rfam family "Bacterial small subunit ribosomal RNA", at positions 524 to 776 of the family's 1533-position model. The record is from RNAcentral.